GUCUCAGUUCAGAUUGCAGGCUGCAACUCGCCUGCAUGAAGUCGGAAUUGCUAGUAAUCGCAGAUCAGCAUGCUGCGGUGAAUACGUUCCCGGGCCUUGUACACACCGCCCGUCACACCAUGGGAGUCGGUAACACCCGAAGUCGGUAGCCUAACCGUAAGGAGGGCGCCGCCGAAGGUGGGAUUGAUGACUGGGGUGGAAGUCGUAACAAGGUAGC
RNAcentral lists this ribosomal RNA (217 nucleotides) under uncultured bacterium. RNAcentral describes it as "partial 16S ribosomal RNA". It matches the Rfam family "Bacterial small subunit ribosomal RNA", at positions 1285 to 1500 of the family's 1533-position model. The record is from RNAcentral.